ACUUCUGUUUUACAACCGCUUGAUGUCUGCCUAAACACACCCUUUAAAGAAUCUGCAAAAUAUGGUCAGACUGAAUGUGUUAAAGCAUGGCAAAGUUGACAAAAGGCAGGAAUCUUAUGAAGCCCAAAAUCAAGUGAGUUGCCCAUUGGGUCAAGGAUGUGUGGGAAUUAAUUCCCUUAGAAAGUAUAGAAAAAUCAUUUUGCAAAUACUGCAUCAGCAAUGCACUUGAUUGGUCAGAAAAUUAUGACAUAUUUGCUGAUGACACAAUGGAGGCUGAUAAGGAAUCUGAGUCUGAGGUUUACACUGGUGUCAUCUAUGAUGACUAUGCAGGAGCAGCUAUGACUGAAGCCCAAUUAAAUGGUCUGUUUGGCAAAUUGGAGACUGAUUAACACUUGGAAGGAUUUAAAGUCUUUUUAAGUGCAGUAAAGUAAUAUGAGACUUUAAAACAUGAACUGCAAUUUUGAAGGCAUGUGAAGUCCAUCAUGCCAUGAAACUGUGACAAUGCCAGCUGAGAGUCAAAUUCCCACUAGCGGCAUGUCUCAAGUUUAUUUUACAAUAGUCAGCGAUGGGGAUUCUACUGCAAUACUGGCAUCGCCAUUGCGGGAGGUCAACAGGAGAAGCUAUCCUGUCCACUUUUCCUACUCCUUGUGACCCUGUGGAGUAUACCAGGAUUGAAGGGGGUACCAUCAGCUGUCAAUUUAGUGGGUCCUUUAGACCCACCAAAGUGAAUACUGGAAAAGCAAUCUCUGGAGUGUCCAUCUCUGGGCCACCAGCCUGGAUGGGAAAAUAAUUCUGAAACUCAAAGGAAUCCAUUGUUGGUAAUUUGGCUGCUGCAUUGAAGUAUCUAUACAGGCUCUCCUAUGCCAUAUAUGCAAUAAAAAAUGAGUAACCGAAGUGAAAAACCAUAAGCCAAUCUGUGGGGUGCACAGCACUUUUGAACAUCAGGCUAUUUAUUUAAGAGCAUUAGCUUUGGACUGUUGUUUUUAAAAAAUUUUAGCAAUAAAAAUCAUUUACAAUCUUUACAAUUACAUGAAGUGUGUAAAGUUAUUAUUUAGAUUGCUACAAAUUGAUAUCGUUAGGAAUUAAGGUUGAAAAAUGUGUGACUGAAUAGCACCAAAAAACUGACACUGACAUGUUCGACGGUGGAAUAAUUUCACAAAACUACACUAGAAAAAAAAGUGAAAACAUGCUGUCCGUACCAGUGCUCUACAGGGGGCACUUACAUGGUGAUGGGCACAAUCCGAACUUAAGUCAUAUGGACUGGAGGAUUACAUAUUAACUUCCCAUUCCUCAUUUUUAACUUUUGAUUCACAAAAAAUAUCAGCAAGAAGAGGCUAUCCAAAACUUCCCUAUUCAUUUUUUUCCUCAAACUAGAACACAAGGUAGAUAACCUGGAAUCUUCACAGAGAUGAAAACAACUCACUCACAUCCUCUGUCCUGCUCUCGCUGAGUGAUGGAAUUAAGACUGGGUGAACUGAGCAUCCAAAUGUCCUCCCUACUAACCUUGUAGAAUGUAUCCAGAGAAGAUAAAUGGCUUCCAUAAAAUCAUGUGAGAUUGGGGGAGCCCCUAGCAAUAUGGCAUUAAUAGGA
Long non-coding RNA from Pelodiscus sinensis (Chinese soft-shelled turtle), 1590 nucleotides. RefSeq lists it as uncharacterized. Lineage: Eukaryota; Metazoa; Chordata; Testudines; Trionychidae. The record is from RefSeq and is a predicted model, not a curated record.